This is a non-coding RNA of Pelobates cultripes (western spadefoot toad), 664 nucleotides long. The record is from the annotation of a GenBank genome assembly. Lineage: Eukaryota; Metazoa; Chordata; Amphibia; Anura; Pelobatidae.
CUAUUACUGUGCAUAAUUAUUAGGCAACUUAACAAAAAACAAAUAUAUACCCAUUUCAAUUAUUUAUUAUUACCAGUGAAACCAAUAUAACAUCUCAACAUUCACAAAUAUACAUUUCUGACAUUCAAAAACAAAACAAAAACAAAUCAGUGACCAAUAUAGCCACCUUUCUUUGCAAGGACACUCAAAAGCCUGCCAUCCAUGGAUUCUGUCCGUGUUUUGAUCUGUUCACCAUCAACAUUGCAUGCAGCAGCAACCACAGCCUCCCAGACACUGUUCAGAGAGGUGUACUGUUUUCCCUCCUUGUAAAUCUCACAUUUGAUGAUGAACCACAGGUUCUCAAUGGGGUUCAGACCAGGUGAACAAGGAGGCCAUGUCAUUAGAUUUUCUUCUUUUAUACCCUUUCUUGCCAGCCACGCUGUGGAGUACUUGGACGCGUGUGAGGGAGCAUUGUCCUGCAUGAAAAUCAUGUUUUUCUUGAAGGAUGCAGACUUCUUCCUGUACCACUGCUUGAAGAAGGUGUCUUCCAGGAACUGGCAGUAGGACUGGGAGUUGAGCUUGACUCCAUCCUCAACCCGAAAAGGCCCCACAAGCUCAUCUUUGAUGAUACCAGCCCAAACCAGUACUCCACCUCCACUUUGCUGGCGUCUGAGUCGGACUGGAG